Molecule: ribosomal RNA, 250 nt
Filed under: uncultured Brevibacterium sp.
Lineage: Bacteria; Bacillati; Actinomycetota; Actinomycetes; Micrococcales; Brevibacteriaceae
Description: partial 16S ribosomal RNA
Rfam family: Bacterial small subunit ribosomal RNA
Source: RNAcentral
UACGUAGGGUACAAGCGUUGUCCGGAAUUAUUGGGCGUAAAGAGCUCGUAGGUGGUUUGUCGCGUCUGCUGUGGAAACGCAAGGCUCAACCUUGCGCGUGCAGUGGGUACGGGCGAACUAGAGUGCAGUAGGGGAGUCUGGAAUUCCUGGUGUAGCGGUGAAAUGCGCAGAUAUCAGGAGGAACACCGGUGGCGAAGGCGGGACUCUGGGCUGUAACUGACGCUGAGGAGCGAAAGCAUGGGGAGCGAAC